RNA transcript from Phyllopteryx taeniolatus (common seadragon), 5108 nucleotides. It is a transcript of the gene named Mov10 like RNA helicase 1, with no coding region annotated. Lineage: Eukaryota; Metazoa; Chordata; Actinopteri; Syngnathiformes; Syngnathidae. The record is from RefSeq and is a predicted model, not a curated record. The transcript has 27 exons.
UGUUACUGUUUGUGUAAUCCUGUUUACAGAUAAAGUGACAGAAGGACUAAUGGUUGGAAAAACCACAUCCUCAGAGGAUAUGAAAAUCAUCCUGCUCUUGUUGUCUUGGAAAACAGAACAAAAAGCAUUUCUAUUCCAAUUCACAGACAGGCAGGCAGGCAGACAGAUCUGACGUCUCCAGAUGUGUCGCGCUGUUUUAAGGGCCAACACUGACCUCUUGUGGUCCCACAAGCAGACUGGUUAUGUCGCCAUGCAGCAAAAAAACACCAUUUGUACAGUACCUUGAACACAACAGUGGGAAUGUGCUGUAAUGAGUGGAGCCGCUGUGGAUGCUUGCAAAAAAAAGCAGUUCUACGUCAACCUGGGCGAGUUUUGCCGAUAUGCUUUCAGCCGUGAGGUGCAUGCUGUCCAAACUGGUCUCCCCGCUGUGGAGUAAAGCACAGGCGGAGGCUAACGGCGGUGCUGCGGACUCGCAGACCAUCCGCCACCUCCCUGACGGCGUGGUGACCCAGCUGGGCCUGGACCACGGCCUCAUCGACGAUGCCAUCUACUUCACGAGUGGCGUGGUGCUGGGUGGGGUACCUCUCAAAGUAGGGGACAUGGUGAGCUGCAUUGCCGUGGCAGAUGGCGCCCAAGGCGGAUGGAGAGCCCUCAGGGUGGUGAAGAGUUCUGAUGCAUGGGAGGCUGAAGGAGGGACGUCUUUCGAGGACGAGUGCGCUCAGCUACGCCCUCUAAUUGGCACCGUCACGUCGUUUGACGGCGAGGGCGGCUACAUCAACCAGAACACUUACUUCCUACGCUCCAGUCUAUGUGAAGGUUACGAGCCAGUGACAGGAGACUGGGUCCAAGCAAAAUAUUUUAUCAAUCCCAACCAGUGGACCACCCAGGCUCAAUCUGUUGCCCCGUUGCGCUAUUGCCGUCUUAAUCAGGUGUGUGUGACCAGCAUGUACGCUAACAAGGGAGUGGUGGAGGACAGCGUGUUCUUCUGCCUGGACUCUCUGCUGCUGCCUGCCUACUACAAGCCCUCACCGGGCCAUGUUGUCAACUUGGUGAUGAUGGAAAGCAACCAGUCCUUCUACCGGUGGAGGGCUCUGUGCAUGGCGCCAAGCACUCAGGGUUGGAAACCAACCCUGACACACAUGCCCACAGCUGCACUGGAGACCUUACUGGAAAACAAAGGAGGGUUGGAUGUAACUUGCUAUGGCCAGUUUGGAGAUUUGAUGGUGGGAGAGCACAGGAAGCUGGUGCUAUGGAUACAGAACAAAGGUUCAGAGACACACCGGCUCAAGUGCUGCGAAUUUGCCGGCUGGGACUCGGAACAACAGUUCUUUCUGAAUCCACUCAAGAUGGGACCAAAAGAAAAACCCAGAUCCGACUCUGGUCCCAUUGUUGUGGAAGAACGAGGAAGUCAAGCUGAAGAGGCAGAUGGCAAGGAGACAAAGCCCUCUCUCAGUGUGAGGAGAGAAGAAAGAGAGGCAGAGCUUCCUCCAGGAGAGCGACUGUCUAUUGUAGUGGGGUGCCAAGCAAAGAGCCUGGGAAGCUGUGCCGAGCUGCUGUUGCUGCACUUCUCCUCAUUUGUCAUCGGGAGGCGCCUGGAAGUGACUGUGUGCAGCAAGGACGAGAGUCUGCUGUGGCCUUGUGCGCCCUACAGUCCCGCCGAUGCCAAGCCCAUCCCGGCGGCGCCUUCUCACGUGAUCACCCUCACUGCUCACCAUUCCACCCUUAACAGGCUUCCUAACCGCCGUCUGCCGUGCUUUCUGCCUUAUUAUGUGGUGCCGCAGCCUUUAAGAGACUGUGUGGCUGGGCAGAAGGACGUCUUGGUCGUCCAGCCCUGCUUAGGAGAGGUGCUGUCAGCCUCCAACGCGCAGGCCCGUUUCUCUACUCUGCUGUGGAUGGAGGAGCUUCAUGCUGAGAGAGAACUAGGAGAGUUCACCAUUCAAGGAGCGCAACUCAGGAAAGGAGCUGCCUACCUUCACCUGGAGGUCCUUUGCUUGACUGAGGGGAGGCCCAAUCUCAAUAUAGGUGACAGAAUUGUACUGAAGAGUCCACAGAGUGACGGCAUUAUGAUGGAGUAUAUUAGCUAUGUUGCUGAGAUCAAUGACGAGGAUGUGAGUCUGAAAGUCAACCCAGCAUUUCAUCGGAGCUACCUUGGCGAGCCUCUCGAUGUGGAGUUCUCUUACAACAGGUUAACCAUGAGGCGCUGUCACCACGCAGUUGAGCAGAUCAAAUCCUUCAUGGAGAUUUUCUUCCCCUCCAAAGUUACUACUCAGACCCCUCUGUGGACAGUGAAGUGGUUAGAUGAAGAUGACCAAAACAAAACGCUGGAUGGAUAUGAGCAGGCCUCAGCAAAGGAAAAUUGCCAGAUACCAAACGUUUCAGUCGACAUGGACUCAAAAGCCACACAAACUAAAGAUGGCACCGUGUCACUAAACCACACCCCCAGCCCGGGCCAUUUCUUCAACCGUGACCUCAACCCUGCUCAGAAGGAGGCCGUGAAGAGAAUCCUGGCUGGAGAGUGUCGGCCCACCCCUUACGUGCUAUUUGGACCCCCUGGCACUGGGAAGACCAUCACCCUCAUAGAGGCCAUACUACAGGUGUACCACUUUCUUCCCAGCAGCCGUGUCCUCGUGUGCACGCCCUCCAACAGUGCGGCCGACCUCAUCUGCGUCCGCCUGCACGAUAGCGGCCUCAUGCACACUGCAAGCAUGGCCCGUGUCAAUGCUUCUUACAGACAGGAGAAGUGCAUCCCCGAGGUGCUGAGGCCGUACUCGAAGGCUGGCGAGGACCUCAGUCAUGCCUCUUUCCACCGCAUAGUGGUCAGCACCUGCUCCAGCGCUGGCCUGUUCUACAAUUUAGGACUCCAAGUCGGACAUUUUACUCACGUGUUCCUGGAUGAGGCAGGCCAGGCAACAGAACCAGAAUCUAUGAUUCCGAUCAGCUUCAUCUCAGAAAGUGAUGGGCAGGCUCAGAUAGUGUUGGCCGGAGACCCGUGCCAGCUGGGGCCGAUCGUAAAGUCCCGGAUGGCCUCCGCCUUCGGCUUGGGCUUGUCCCUGCUGGAGAGGCUCAUGGCCAAUUCGCUUUAUGGCAAACAGGAGUGGGGCUAUAACCCAAAGCUGGUGACAAAGCUGAUCUACAACUACCGUUCCCACGAGGCUUUGCUCACGUUGCCCUCUAAGCUAUUCUACCACGGAGAACUGUGCGUCAAAGCCCCUAAAGCUGUCGUGGAGUCCCUCUCUCAGUGGAAAACUCUACCUAAAAAGGGCUUUCCUCUUCUCUUUCAUGGCAUCAGGGGCAAAGAAAUGAGGGAAGGUAACAACCCGUCGUGGUUCAACCCAGUGGAGGCGGUGCAGGUCAUGUUGUACUGCUGCCAGCUGACCAAGAAACUUUACAACCCUGUGGAUGCCUCCCAGAUUGGAAUCAUUUCCCCCUACAGGAAACAAAGUGAGAAGAUCCGCGUCCUUCUGGGUAAAGUGGGCCUGUCCGACAUCAAAGUGGGCUCCGUGGAAGAGUUCCAAGGACAAGAAUUCCUGGUCAUCAUCAUGUCAACAGUAUGCCGAAACCACCAGCAUUGCGGUGCGCUCCAACGAAUCAGCAUUGAGUGACGAUUUGCAGAGUGUGCUGGGCUUUCUGACCAACCCCAAGCGCUUCAACGUGGCCAUUACGCGCUCCAAAGCAUUGCUGCUCAUCAUUGGAAACCCCCAUGUUCUCAUUAGGGAUACAUGCUACAGGGCACUGAUUCACUAUUGCUUCACCAACGGGGCAUAUCUGGGCUGCGACCCCCCCUCCCUACAUUAGAGACUCUCAGAUGUAAGCGUGUUCCAUCCUCUUAGAUUCCACAUGAUUACUAUUAUAAUAAUAGGGAUACAUGUCACUAUUUAUAGUAAACUGUACAACCUUAAACAUACCCACACACACAGGCUUAACAUACAAUGAGUAACAAGGCCACACUGAAAAAAAAAUAAAAGUUGAAUUAUGGGAAAAUAAAUGUACAGUAUUUUAUGAGUAAAGCUCAAAGCUCAAAUUAUACAGAAACUUUUUAUGAGAAUUAAUUGAAUUUAAUUCACAAUUUUUGCCGAAAUGACUGAAAAGAAGUCCCACAUAAGACUCAGGAGAUCACUUCUCUGCCCUUAAGUACAGUGGACCCCUGCUACCCGGAGGGGAUAGGGACCGGACCUGACCGGGAAAAGCAAAAUCUGCGAAUAAUUGAUGCCUAUUAUAAUAGCCAUUAAAAUAGAUAGAUACAUACAUAGAAUUUGAGGAAAAAAAUCCAGAAAACUGUCAAUAAGCAGAGCAUCAUAAAUCUGGGUAUAAUUGAAUAUUUUGCAUAUUACAACUUAAUACUACAAAAUGUUUGCAUUUUUUCUUGCAACAUUCUUGUGGUGCUUUUUUUUCACCACGCUGGCACUUUUCUGUUAAUAUUAUGACUUGUGAUAGAUAAAGCUACUUUUCUUGUAACAUCACAACUUGUUGAUGUAAAAAUACAACUUUUAACUUGUGCAACAACCUUUUAGUUCAACUUGUUUUUCUCUCAAUGUGGCUCUAUUCUCGUGAAAAUGAGACAUUCUAAAAAUACGACUUGUCAAAGUUCUUAUCAUUGAACCUUUAUACUGCUGAAGUAAUUGUCUAGCUGAACAUUCAUACAUUUCAUGUUAUUGUGGUUACAGUCUGCACACUUGUUUCUGAAAGUAUAUAAGGGUCAAGAAGAAAUACUACACAAGAUUAAAGCCAUUUUACAUUUGCUUGUUUGUACAUUACAAGUCUUAAUAUUAAAAGAAUACAGCUUUUUUUCAAGUAUACAACUUAGUUCUCACAAGUUUACAAAUUAAUCAUAGUCAUUUAAAAAAAAUAUUAUUUGUAUCUAUCAACAGUGUGGCCCUAAUGGGCCUUGUAGUUGUCUGCAGCUCUAGAGCUCCAUUUUCCAGAGCUGCAUUGAAUCACAGUGCUGCAUGACACACGUUCCUGCAGUCGGCUACUAAAUUAAGUUCCUCUUUCUGUUUCCUUGUUUGCCAAGUGAGUGAUCAACAUUAACUCUAAUACUGCUUUGCUUUUCUGUGAGAGAGCAAUGGAUGAUCGGCGGCUACAAAUAAAGAUAUGCCAUCUGUUAAUGA